Molecule: ribosomal RNA, 253 nt
Filed under: uncultured bacterium
Lineage: Bacteria
Description: partial 16S ribosomal RNA
Rfam family: Bacterial small subunit ribosomal RNA
Source: RNAcentral
UACAGAGGGGGCAAGCGUUAUUCGGAAUUAUUGGGCGUAAAGGGCGCGUAGGCGGCCAUUCAAGUGACGGGUGAAAUCCCUCGGCUUAACCGAGGAACUGCCUGUCAGACUGGAUUGCUUGAGGCCGGGAGAGGCGAGUGGAAUUCCCAGUGUAGCGGUGAAAUGCGUAGAUAUUGGGAGGAACACCAGUGGCGAAGGCGGCCAUCUGGGAGGGCACUGACGCUGAGACGCGAAAGCGUGGGGAGCAAACAGG